GGAGGAAAAGAAACCAACAGGGAUUGCCUUAGUAGCGGCGAGUGAAGCGGCAAAAGCUCAAAUUUGAAAUCUGGCACUUUCAGUGUCCGAGUUGUAAUUUGAAGAAGGUAUCUUUGGGUCUGGCUCUUGUCUAUGUUUCUUGGAACAGAACGUCACAGAGGGUGAGAAUCCCGUGCGAUGAGAUGUCCCAGACCUAUGUAAAGUUCCUUCGAAGAGUCGAGUUGUUUGGGAAUGCAGCUCUAAGUGGGUGGUAAAUUCCAUCUAAAGCUAAAUAUUGGCGAGAGACCGAUAGCGAACAAGUACAGUGAUGGAAAGAUGAAAAGAACUUUGAAAAGAGAGUGAAAAAGUACGUGAAAUUGUUGAAAGGGAAGGGCUUGAGAUCAGACUUGGUAUUUUGUAUGUUACUCUCUCGGGGGUGGCCUCUACAGUUUACCGGGCCAGCAUCAGUUUGAGCGGUAGGAUAAGUGCAAAGAAAUGUGGCACUGCUUCGGUAGUGUGUUAUAGUCUUUGUCGAUACUGCCAGCUUAGACUGAGGACUGCGGCUUCGGCCUAGGAUGUUGGCAUAAUGAUCUUAAGUCGCCCGUCUU
RNAcentral lists this ribosomal RNA (587 nucleotides) under Lodderomyces parapsilosis. Its description in RNAcentral is "eukaryotic LSU rRNA". It matches the Rfam family "Eukaryotic large subunit ribosomal RNA", at positions 52 to 655 of the family's 3401-position model. The record is from RNAcentral. Lineage: Eukaryota; Fungi; Ascomycota; Pichiomycetes; Serinales; Debaryomycetaceae.